GGCAUCCUGGUGCUUAACACAGGCUGUGUUCUUACACUUACUGUAUAACAAGAGGAGGCAAAGUGAAUCUACCCCAUAUACACAUCAUCCCCUGCCCUGUGUCUGGUCUAUAUUGUGAAUGGGGAGACAUGG
This 132-nucleotide small nucleolar RNA is filed under the name Castor canadensis (American beaver). RNAcentral's name for it is "Small nucleolar RNA SNORA51 (ENSCCNG00000007602.1)". It matches the Rfam family "Small nucleolar RNA SNORA51". Rfam says of the family: ACA51 is a member of the H/ACA class of snoRNA that guide the sites of modification of uridines to pseudouridines. The record is from Rfam by way of RNAcentral. Lineage: Eukaryota; Metazoa; Chordata; Mammalia; Rodentia; Castoridae.